AAUCAAAUUAUCAUUUUUUGAAAAGGACCCUUUACAUAUUAAAUCAAACAAACUAGGAUGAUUGACAUUUCAUUUCAUUGCUCAUCAGCCCAGGUAUAAUCCCCUCACAAAGCCAUGAAUACUAGGCUUCCUUUUAGUUCUUUUACCAUCGUCACCACAAACAUCAAUCCAACAAGACACCAAACAUACAUAUGGAAGUUUUACCCCCCGCCCCCCAAAAAAAAGGCGCCAGUGUUCAGUCACUUGUAAAAAACUUUACACAAUUGGCAGCUAUUAUCUUUCCCUUCACAAGAAAUUUUGUAAUUCAG
This 308-nucleotide long non-coding RNA is filed under the name Citrus sinensis (sweet orange). RNAcentral's name for it is "long non-coding RNA (CSIN_LNC004328)". The record is from RNAcentral. Lineage: Eukaryota; Viridiplantae; Streptophyta; Magnoliopsida; Sapindales; Rutaceae.